GACCGCUCUGGGCCGCACCCGUCGCUCGUUGUCGGACUCCCUCCCGCUGCCAGCGGCCACCCUUCCCCGCGCCCAGCGCGGACCCAUCGGGCUCCCCGCGCCGGACCCAGCACCUCGGCUCUCCGAGGCCGGACCGAGGCCGCAAGCAGCGCCGCGGGGUGUGAGGCGGACCCAGGAGAUGAAAUGACAACGUCAACCCUCCAGAAAGCCAUUGAUCUGGUGACAAAAGCCACAGAAGAGGAUAAAGCCAAGAAUUACGAGGAGGCGCUCCGGCUCUACCAGCAUGCGGUGGAGUAUUUCCUACACGCUAUCAAAUAUGAGGCUCACAGCGACAAGGCCAAGGAGAGCAUUCGAGCCAAGUGCAUGCAGUACCUAGACCGGGCCGAGAAGCUGAAGGAUUAUUUACGGAACAAAGAGAAGCACGGCAAGAAGCCAGUCAAAGAGAACCAGAGUGAGAGCAAGGGCAGCGAUAGUGACAGUGAAGGGGAUAAUCCAGAGAAAAAGAAAUUGCAAGAACAACUGAUGGGGGCCGUCAUGAUGGAGAAGCCCAACAUUCGGUGGAGUGACGUGGCCGGGCUGGAGCUGGCCAAGGAGGCCCUCAAAGAAGCUGUCAUUUUGCCAAUUAAAUUCCCACACUUGUUCACAGGCAAGCGUACCCCUUGGCGAGGGAUACUGCUCUUUGGACCCCCUGGCACCGGGAAAUCCUACCUGGCCAAAGCGGUGGCAACAGAGGCCAACAACUCCACCUUCUUCUCCGUGUCCUCCUCGGACUUGAUGUCUAAGUGGUUGGGGGAGAGUGAGAAGCUCGUCAAGAACCUGUUUGAGCUGGCCAGGCAGCACAAGCCUUCCAUAAUCUUCAUCGACGAAGUGGAUUCCCUCUGCGGAUCCCGCAACGAAAAUGAGAGCGAGGCUGCCCGCAGGAUCAAAACAGAGUUCUUGGUCCAGAUGCAGGGAGUGGGGAAUAACAACGAUGGCACUCUGGUUCUUGGUGCCACCAACAUCCCAUGGGUGUUGGAUUCGGCCAUCAGAAGGAGGUUUGAAAAGCGGAUUUACAUCCCGUUGCCGGAGGAGGCGGCCCGUUCCCAGAUGUUCCGGUUGCAUCUGGGUAGCACGCCACACAGCCUCACGGACGCCAACAUCCAGGAGCUGGCCCGGAAGACAGAGGGCUACUCGGGCGCAGACAUCAGCAUCAUUGUGCGGGACUCCCUCAUGCAGCCCGUGAGAAAAGUUCAGUCCGCAACACACUUCAAAAAGGACUCGGAAACCUGCGAUGUCCUGCCCCUUCUCCAGAAGCCAGCCAUCACACUCCUGUUUCUUCCAGGUCUGCGGCCCUUCCCGCACCAACCCUAACAUCAUGACCGACGACCUCCUGACCCCGUGCUCUCCAGGGGACCCAGGGGCCAUGGAGAUGACUUGGAUGGAUGUCCCUAGUGACAAACUCUUAGAGCCUGUGGUUUGCAUGUCGGACAUGCUCCGGUCUUUGGCCACCACCCGGCCCACCGUGAAUGCAGAUGACCUCCUGAAAGUGAAGAAAUUCUCAGAGGACUUUGGACAGGAGAGUUAAAAGCUUGUCACUCUGGUGAUGGUGACGGAAGGAGGUUGGUGGCGGUACAUUCAUGCACUCCUCAUGUCGGUGGCCAGACAGGCUGCAGGGCUCGUCCUAAAAUCACUCCGUGUCCCCUGGGCUGUCUGGCCGCCCGCCAAGGAGCAGGAAGGAAGGGGCUCCCGGCCGCAGAGAUGCAGAAGCACAUCCGGCAGCGGGUGGAAUACUGGCUCUUCCUACUUCCUCCUCCUCUUCUGGAUGCUCACCACUCCUUGUCCUGACACUCCAUGUUUGUUUUUAAAGCCUUUUUUGUUCCCCUAAAUUAAUGCUGCUUGGAUUUUCGUCCUGUUUAUAAAUAAAGUCAAAAUCACCUGGAGCAUCACGGAGUGGGAGCAGCCGAGCAGUGGGGUCGGUGCAGCAGACCCGCGAGCCCCCAGGGCCCGUUCCUUUUAGACCCAAGUGUCGCUCCUUGUGAACUGAAUGGCUGAUGCCCUGGAACCCAGCCCAAGCUGUGCCUGCAGAGGCCAAGAGUAAAGCCAAGCCAUCCGCACACUCCCAAGUCGCACACUCCCAAGUCGCCAUCCCGGGCCCUGUUCCUCCCUGCAGGAGGAGAGGGGUCUGUGAACACCGAGAUGUGCACGUCAGAAGGAGUGAAGGCAGUCAGGCGGGUCUCACUGCUGCCUCUUCCCUCUGAAUGUGAGAACAUGAACCCAGCCACCGCCCGGGUCCCUGUCCUGGAAGUGGGCUAAUAAAUCCUUUUCCCUUCUUGA
RNA transcript from Myotis daubentonii (Daubenton's bat), 2313 nucleotides. It is a transcript of the gene named vacuolar protein sorting 4 homolog A, with no coding region annotated. The record is from RefSeq and is a predicted model, not a curated record. NCBI's taxonomy places the organism in Eukaryota, Metazoa, Chordata, Mammalia, Chiroptera, Vespertilionidae.